Molecule: long non-coding RNA, 6609 nt
Filed under: Sus scrofa (pig)
Lineage: Eukaryota; Metazoa; Chordata; Mammalia; Artiodactyla; Suidae
Description: lncRNA (ENSSSCG00000052519.1)
Source: RNAcentral
UUUUUUUUUUUUCUUUUUGAAGUAAAAUUAUAAGACUGGAGAUUUUUACAGUCCUUGAAUAUUCCUGAUAUCAUCAGCCAUGUAGGCAACCUGGGGCACUCUCCCCCUGCCCUUUGGCAGGAUCCCCAGCUGCUGACAGCAGGGCUAAACUGGCAACAGGGCAGAGGGCUGCUUUUGACUAAAGAUGGGUCCCACUGAUGAAUAUCGCACCCGCUUAAUGAAGUCAAGGCCACGGACUCACGGCCUUUUAUGGUUCAUCUCCUCUCAUUCAGCUUCACCCUCAGAGACCACACCACUAAUCCUAGCCAGUCAUAUUCUAUGUAUGCAACUGGUGACUCAGGGACCAGAUAAAAGUACAUGAAUCUCAUCUAGAAAACAGUGGCCAGAAAUCUCUGUAUACAGCAGGCUCAGAGCUAAAAAAUAUGUUCACAGAGCAUCUCCUGUAGUAUAAGCAGCAACUCCAGGAGAUACAUAGAGCAGAUAAUUCCACACAUAAGAAAAACAAAAAAAAAAAAACAAAAAAAAAAACUGCAGGAAAUUAAGGAAAGUUCUGGGAUUAGAAUUCAGGUAUUUUUGAUCAUCAGACUGCUCUUUCACCACAGGAGGCUAACCCUCUUGGGAUCUCAUUUGAUUCUCAUCUGAAUCCUGUAAAAUAAGGCAGGCUGUAUAAACAAGUAAGUCGAUUUGCCAGGAGCCAGUGGAGCAGGUGCUCUUAAGCCCCUGCCUUGAAUUUGGCUGAACCCCCAAUUACCUAAACAACUGUAUUUUUCAGUCUAUCCUAGAUCGUUGAUAUUCAUGGAUGGUGGCAGAUUUCAAAGUGAUAAAAUUCUAGUCUGUUGUAAGGGUCUGGGCUGAUCCACCCAGGUCAGUCAGAGGAAGGGGACUUAGAAAUGCAGUGAACAUCUCAGGAGUGCUCACUUUCCCGUCAUAAGAAUCAGACCCACUAAUUCUCUGGUUGCUUCUGAUUUUGUUGAAUAUAUUGGGAGCAUUUGCUUUUGGACACGACCUCAACAUUAAAUUUUGGAAUAUCUCAAAAUUCCUAAAAUAAAAAUUCUUGGGUUAUAUGUUGCUUUGUGUUUGUUAUACUUAGUCUCAUAUCUAUACUACAAACACUCAGAAGACGAUUGUCUUUAUUUCUCAUUAGAACACAUCACCAAUAAUACUUGGUGCCAUAAACUUUACGCCAAUUUAGCGCCAGUGUAGACCUGCCACCAAGUUGGUUAGGAGUCUAAUCCAAAUAGUAUCUUCAAUUAUCUAGAAGUAAUUAGUAGUAUUGUUUGCAUUUACUUUAUUUGUAUUUUUGUAAUUUUUGUCUUGAUUAUAGGGCUCUAUUAUACCUUUACAUUGCUCCUAAGAUAAAAGACUAUAAUCAAAUGCAACCUUGUCUAAGGUGAAGAAUGGAUGCAAAGAUUUAUAAUAAAUGGGAAAAAAUCAAAAUGAGCAGUUGGUCAGUUGUGGAUUCAGUCUAGGCAAUUGAGGUUAAAGCCUUGCUUUUAAUUUUUUCAUCAAUAGCAGAGGGGCUGAAUAUUUUUCCUUGAAACUUCUUGCAUCAGAAUGUAUCUCUUUCAUUUGCCUAAAGAUGUUGACCAAGGAUAUGAAGGAGUCUGAUGCUGUAAUUAUCUACUGGUAUUCACCUAGGUAAUCAUCUGGUAAAACAUUUAGUUUUUAAAAUUAUUUGCAUCUUCUUGUUUGAAUACUGAAGAGACCCACCAUGAUGCUACCUAAAUACUGGGCUGCGGUAGAGGUGUUGGGGGUGGAGUUUCAGGCUUUUAUUCAUUCUAUUUAUGUUGAAGUUAAGUGAAUUAGCUCAUGCUCAUAAGUCAGUUGUGCUGUUAUCAUUGGGUAAUCAUUCUGAUCAUUCAUUAUUUUUCAUUCUUGGAGAUCCAAAUGGAUGAAGUCAUUUUAUACGGCUGUACUCUUCAUUAUGGUAGCUAUUAGCCAAAUUAAAAUAAAUUAAAAUUAAAAACUAAGGGAGUUCCUUGGUGGCCUAGUGGUUAAGGAUCUGGCAUUGUCACUGCUGCGACUUGGGUCACUGCUAUGGUAUGGGUUCAAUCCCUGGCCUGGGAACUUCUGCAUGCCACAGGUAUGGCCAAAAAAAGGUAAAAAUUAAGUUCCAUGGUUCCAAAUUAAGUUGACCAACAACGCUGGUCACCUACGUAAACACAUUUUGUGGUGUAGCUUUCUGGGUUAUGUAUCUUCAAAUCAUCAUGACUACAUUUGUGGUUAGUGGCUACUGUACUGGACAGUGCCAAUUUAUAGAACAUUUCUGUCACCAUAAAAAUUUCUAUUGGACAAAGUUCUUCUAAAGUAAAAGACUGAAAUCCAAGACAAGCCAUAGAAAUGCAUCCUAUAUCCAAUUAUUUAUUUGUAGAACAAUAUAAUCUAAGUUACAGAGGCUUGUAGGAUGAGGCUGCUGGGGCCUGGGCAUGGGGGAGGAGGUGGCCUGAAUCUUCCUUCUCAAAGCAUGAACUGGCCCUUUGUGUCAUGAGAGAGGAUGAGCCAAAUCUCUAGAGAAAGGGCAGGUGCAGAUAAGCCAUUUCCAUUUUCCACUCCUGCAACUCCCAGAACCUUGAGUCCAGACCUGCCGCCAAGUCCUGCUUGCACAGAAGCCCAAACCAAAGAGUGUUUUGGACUAAUUUUCUGGACGUUAUUUCUUUGCAAAAUCUAGCUUGUGCCUUUGAUUAAGGACUUCUUUUUUUUUUUUUGCCAUGAAUUUAAAUGAAUCUGAACCUAGCAGUGUUCCCUACCAGCCAUGGCAUUUAGCAUAGGCAUUAACCAAAAGAAAUAAGGCUUUGGGCAAGUAAGGAUUAUCACAGAGACUGAGCAGUGCAGUUCAGUGUUCCUGGACUGGAUGUCUUUAAGUGAAUAUCAUUCAUUGUCUCCUUGUCAUUGCCGCUGUGCAAGUAAACCUAUCAUAGACCGAAGUUCUUUCUCUGAGUUGGAAAAGGUGAGGAGAGUCUCCAGUGUUUCCUGCAGAAGCCACUUUUAAACUUGUAAAAACUUAAACUUAACAAAUCACCAAUCCCAUCCUUUUCUCCAAUAUAUCUUACUAGAACAAUCUCUACUAUAUCAAGAAAGAGACUGAGUCAGAAUGUUUUCAUAAGAUUGUUUAGUCAUUCGCAAAAAGCACAUGGGAGACAAUUCUCAUUACUUUUAUCACAUACUUCUUCAAAGUGGGCUUUGGGGGAACAUGUUUUAUAUUCUUAGUAGAUUGUAAGUCCCCUAAAACUGCUAAUAAUACAUAUUUGCAUCCCAUACGGUACCUGAUUCAGCAGGAGAUGCUCAGCCCCUUGCUUCAACUCCAAAUAUUUAUGGAACAAAUAUUUGUUUCCAUCAACAAAUAUUUAUGGAACAUACUGAUGAAUGAAUAAGGAGUUUAUGGGUGACAAAUUUGUCUAGCUUGGUAGCUUUCAGCUGAUAUCUAUAAAAAUUUGGGGGGCAGAUGGGAAAGAGGUACAAAAUUUGGGAACAAACACAGAUUGUGAGCUGAUUGAAAGUGUAUCACUUUGAAGCUUCCUUUGAAUUUCCAUAGGGUUAUGAUGGGACAGAAGACUUUUUUUCAAGGGCAACUGUGUUUCAAUUGAGGUUCAGAGAUGUGCAUUCAGCCUUUCAUCUCCUUUACAGAACUUCCUUUCUGACAUUCUUCCUGGAAGUAGGAAACCUAAAAUACUGCAUAAAUUUGUAUCAUAGUGUUUGGGGUUGAUGGCUGAGGGGCAUAAUAAUGGAUUUAGCUGACACUGAAAAUAAUUUACAGAAAAACCUUGAAAUCCAUCCUCAUCUUCAAUAUUUCCAAGAUAAGAGAAUUGUAGAUAUAUGCUGAAGAACCAUAAAAGGGAGUUUAAAAAGUAGAACCUCUUUUGGGUUUUACCAAUAGCGGUCACCUACAUAGGCACAUUUUGUGGUGUAGCUUUCUAGGUCAUGCAUCUUUAAAUCGCCGUGACUAUAUUUGUCUCUUGUCCCAACAGUUUUUCUGGUGUCUCUCCUGCCGAAAAGGUUUCAAUUAGAGCCUGGAAAUGGUUGAUACCGAGCUCUUGCAUGGUGCUUGCCAACAUGGGAAUUGCUUUUAAACGUGGCUGUUUUUCAUCCAAAAAAAAAAAAUCCCCCCUUCCUGCCCUGGAGUUAGAAGAGAUUAGUCUCAGACAGGCGGUUAGCUGAUUUUUAAUGUCAAAGAAACUUAAUUUGCAAACUCGUUAGAAACUCUUUAGUAAAAGCUGCCUAGUAAAACAGAUGAUUAAUAUUGGUAAGCUCCUCAUUUGCAUAUUAAUUAGUCUCCAUACUCAACUAAUUAAAACUGCACUGCCUUUUUGAGGACUUCCUUCUACACUGUUGAUCUUGUUUCUAUGUAUAAGCAUGUAUUUUAAUGAAAAUAAGAGUUAGUGAUUAGGUCUGUACUUUUCUAAUGUACUAAUUUUUUUCAUCUGUGACACUUGGGAUCCCUUGAGAAGUUAUAGGACCAUCUCUAGGUAGCCAUUUCAUUGGCCCACAGAGCACUUUUUUCCCCAGGUUAUGUGUCCUUCAAUUUUCAAGGGAGGAAAAUAGUUGGAUUAUCCAUGACUGGUAACAAUCGGAAAUAAGAAAGGCAGAAAAUUGUAUUUCGGUAUUUGUUUUCAAUAUUUGUAUUUCUCCAUAAUAUUUCAAUAUUUUGUUUUCCAUAUUUGUCUGGCUCUAUAAAAGUAUACUUCUAGUACGGUAUUUUUUGACAUUUAACCUUAGCUACUCUAAAAUUUAGUCUACUUUUUAACUAAAAAUGUUAAUUAGAAAAUUACUGAGUAGGAAAGUAGGCUAAUCUAGUUCCAAAAAUCAUGCACAGAAAGCCAAGUUAUUGGGCAUAAGACCUUAGCUCGUAUUGGUAAGAGCCUAUUUCCAUUGUGGGCAAAACAAAACCAACUAAAUAAAUAAAAAUACCUAUGAAAAUAAACAAUCUUUGAGUACAGUGCUCUCAAAUGAGAUUCAAGAGAAAUUAUAUUAGUCCCAAUCAGGCAACAUUGGCCAAACUGCUAGACUUUUCUCUCAGCUACAAGAACCAAAACCAAAAUGCAGGGAGUGCCUGUCUCAGGCAUUUUCUCAUGACACCGAUCCCCAAAUUGAGUUAGAUGUCAUUUUUAGGUUCUUCCAGAGCACUGUUGAUUACACUUCCAAUAGACCACAUGUUAUAGUACUAUCAUCAUAUCUUUACUUACACUCUUUACUGGAUGAUUCUCCAUAGCAAGGCCUCUAUAUUGCUCAUUAUUAUAUCCCCCAAAAGCUUAUCACAGUGCUUGUGAUAUAGUAUGUACUAAUUAAGUAAUUUCUGGAUAAAUGGGUAAACAAAUAACACAUGGAUUUAACAAUAAACACGUUAUGUGUUAUAUCUAUUACUACAUAACAAUAACCCCCAAACUUAGAGACUAAAACCAAUGUUAUUUCUCAUGAUUCUGAGAGUUGGCUGGACUCUUCUGCUCUCUCAUGGUGAACACCAUGGUUCCCUCAUGGUGCUGCAUUCAGUUGUGGGUCUUCAGGGGUUACACUCAGCUGGGACAGCCAAGAAUCUGGAAUUCUCUCUCCAUAUGUCUUUCAUCCUCAAGUCAGCUCCUAGGCGCUCCUACCAUGGUAGCAGUAGUGUUCUAAUCUAUCCAGUGUCUUAUGCCUCCUUUGCAGAACUUCCUUUCUGACAUUCUUCCUGGCAGUAGGAAACCUAAAGGCAUUGUAUGAAUUUGCACUGUAUUUGUUGUAACCUCCUUCUAAUAUGACUUCCCCUUCUGCAGAGACUUAAAAUGAUAAAAUCUAUAUUUAUCAGACUCCCUUGCAGCUAAGAUCCUUGAUGACUUAGCUUCACCUCAUCAGAUGAACAGUAUGAGAACUUGGAAACUAAGUCUAGUGGGAAACUAAGUCAAGUGGGAGCUUGAAGGGCAUUAAAGGGCAUCGGCUUUUGCUAGCAUGAAUAACAGCAGCUGGAGCAUGGCUUUGGGGACAAGAGUCGUGGUUGGAGUCAUGUCCCGAGUGCAUGGGUUUGAUGAUAUGAUCUCAGAGUCUGCAGCAGGUGUGGCACCUUCUGGACUCUUAGCAUGUAAACUGUAGCAGAGGGAGCGGUUCCCUUGGUGGGCUGCUUCAAAGGUGAUGUUUGAGAGGCAUUUUUCGUGAAGAUCUUGCCUAAUGCUCACCUAUCUAGCCCUUUUAGUACUUUUGUAGGCACCAAAGUCCUUUUCUGUUUAAAAUAGCCAGCAUAGUUUCUGUUUUCUGCACCGAACCCUGAUAGGUAGAUUUCCUUCCAAAAUUAUAAUGGGGUUUCCAUGAAACAUUUUAUGUAAGAGUGAUUGGCACAAAGUAAGAACUCAUUUUCUUCUCUUAUAAUUUGUAUAUACAAAGUCACAGAUGAAACAUCCAAAUGUUUUGAAAGAUUUUGAUGACUGACUUUUUCCUCUGUGUCUCUUUCACUUAGUUUUCAGUUGGCCUGUAAAUACAAUCUUUAAUCAAAAACCUAGAGUCACACCAUGUACAAACAGAAAUAUAGAGAUGCAAAAUACAUCCUUCUCUUAGUCCUUUAACAAAGGUUUAUUGGCUAUAUAAUAAGAUUAAGUGUCUGAUCCUGACCUCGGGCAAAUCAUUUUAGCUCCCUGAGCCUCAGUUUUC